RNAcentral lists this ribosomal RNA (1347 nucleotides) under uncultured bacterium. Its description in RNAcentral is "bacterial SSU rRNA". It matches the Rfam family "Bacterial small subunit ribosomal RNA", at positions 28 to 1381 of the family's 1533-position model. The record is from RNAcentral.
GACGAACGCUGGCGGCGUGCUCAACACAUGCAAGUCGAACGAUGAAGCCUAGCUUGCUAGGUGGAUUAGUGGCGAACGGGUGAGUAGUACGUGAGUAACCUACCUUUAACUCUGGGAUAAGCCUGGGAAACUGGGUCUAAUACCGGAUACGACCAAUCUCCGCAUGGGGUGUUGGUGGAAAGCGUUAUGUAGUGGUUAUAGAUGGGCUCACGGCCUAUCAGCUUGUUGGUGAGGUAACGGCUCACCAAGGCGACGACGGGUAGCCGGCCUGAGAGGGUGACCGGCCACACUGGGACUGAGACACGGCCCAGACUCCUACGGGAGGCAGCAGUGGGGAAUAUUGCACAAUGGGCGCAAGCCUGAUGCAGCGACGCCGCGUGAGGGAUGACGGCCUUCGGGUUGUAAACCUCUGUUAGCAGGGAAGAAGAGAGAUUGACGGUACCUGCAGAGAAAGCGCCGGCUAACUACGUGCCAGCAGCCGCGGUAAUACGUAGGGCGCUAGCGUUGUCCGGGAUUAUUGGGCGUAAAGAGCUUGUAGGCGGUUUGUCGCGUCUGCUGUGAAAGGCCGGAGCUUAACUCCGUGUAUUGCAGUGGGUACGGGCAGACUAGAGUGCAGUAGGGGAGACUGGAAUUCCUGGUGUAGCGGUGGAAUGCGCAGAUAUCAGGAGGAACACCGAUGGCGAAGGCAGGUCUCUGGGCUGUAACUGACGCUGAGAAGCGAAAGCAUGGGGAGCGAACAGGAUUAGAUACCCUGGUAGUCCAUGCCGUAAACGUUGGGCACUAGGUGUGGGGAACAUUCCACGUUUUCCGCGCCGUAGCUAACGCAUUAAGUGCCCCGCCUGGGGAGUACGGCCGCAAGGCUAAAACUCAAAGAAAUUGACGGGGCCCGCACAAGCGGCGGAGCAUGCGGAUUAAUUCGAUGCAACGCGAAGAACCUUACCAAGGCUUGACAUAUACUGGAUCGCAUCAGAGAUGGUGUUUCCCUUCGGGGCUGGUAUACAGGUGGUGCAUGGUUGUCGUCAGCUCGUGUCGUGAGAUGUUGGGUUAGGUCCCGCAACGAGCGCAACCCUCGUUCUAUGUUGCCAGCACGUUAUGGUGGGGACUCAUAGGAGACUGCCGGGGUCAACUCGGAGGAAGGUGGGGAUGACGUCAAAUCAUCAUGCCCCUUAUGUCUUGGGCUUCACGCAUGCUACAAUGGCCGGUACAGAGGGUUGCGAUACUGUGAGGUGGAGCUAAUCCCUAAAAGCCGGUCUCAGUUCGGAUUGGGGUCUGCAACUCGACCCCAUGAAGUCGGAGUCGCUAGUAAUCGCAGAUCAGCAACGCUGCGGUGAAUACGUUCCCGGGCCU